This 468-nucleotide ribosomal RNA is filed under the name uncultured bacterium. Its description in RNAcentral is "partial 16S ribosomal RNA". It matches the Rfam family "Bacterial small subunit ribosomal RNA", at positions 28 to 507 of the family's 1533-position model. The record is from RNAcentral.
GACGAACGCUGGCGGCGUGCUUAACACAUGCAAGUCGAACGGAAAGGCCCUGCUUUUGUGGGGUGCUCGAGUGGAGAACGGGUGAGUAACACGUGAGUAACCUGCCCUUGACUUUGGGAUAACUUCAGGAAACUGGGGCUAAUACCGGAUAGGAGCUCCUGCUGCAUGGUGGGGGUUGGAAAGUUUCGGCGGUUGGGGAUGGACUCGCGGCUUAUCAGCUUGUUGGUGGGGUAGUGGCUUACCAAGGCUUUGACGGGUAGCCGGCCUGAGAGGGUGACCGGCCACAUUGGGACUGAGAUACGGCCCAGACCCCUACGGGAGGCAGCAGUGGGGAAUAUUGCACAAUGGGCGGAAGCCUGAUGCAGCAACGCCGCGUGCGGGAUGACGGCCUUCGGGUUGUAAACCGCUUUCGCCUGUGACGAAGCGUGAGUGACGGUAAUGGGUAAAGAAGCACCGGCUAACUACGUG